Molecule: ribosomal RNA, 1474 nt
Filed under: Bacillus sp. C33
Lineage: Bacteria; Bacillati; Bacillota; Bacilli; Caryophanales; Bacillaceae
Description: 16S ribosomal RNA
Rfam family: Bacterial small subunit ribosomal RNA
Source: RNAcentral
UGCAAGUCGAGCGAUCGAUGGGAGCUUGCUCCCUGAGAUUAGCGGCGGACGGGUGAGUAACACGUGGGCAACCUGCCUAUAAGACUGGGAUAACUUCGGGAAACCGGAGCUAAUACCGGAUACGUUCUUUUCUCGCAUGAGAGAAGAUGGAAAGACGGUUUACGCUGUCACUUAUAGAUGGGCCCGCGGCGCAUUAACUAGUUGGUGCAGGUACAUGUUGCUCAGUUCCAAGGCGACGAUGCGUAGCGCGAUCCUGAGAGGGUGAUUCGGUCCACACUGGGACUGACACACGGCCCAGACUCCUACGGGAGGCAGCAGUAGGGAAUCUUCCGCAAUGGACGAAAGUUCUGACCGGACCAACGCCCCGUGAACGAAGAAGGCCUUCUGGUUCGUAAAGUUCUGUUGUUAGGGAAGAACAAGUACCAGAAGUAACUUGCUGGUACCUUGGACGGUACCUAACCAGAGAAAGCCACCGGCUAACUUACGUGCCAGCCAGCCGCGGUAAUACGUAGGUGGCCAAGCGUUUGUCCGGAAUUAUUGGGCGUAAAGCGCGCGCAGGUGGUUUCCUUUAAGUCUGAUGUGAAAGCCCACGGCUCAACCGUGGAGGGUCAUUGGAAACUGGGGAACUUGAUUGCAGAAGAGGAAAGUGGAAUUCCAAGUGUAGCGGUGAAAUGCGUAGAGAUAUGGAGGAACACCAGUGGCGAAGGCGACUUUCUGGUCUGUAACUGACACUGAGGCGCGAAAGCGUGGGGGAGCAAACAGGAUUAGAUACCCUGGUAGUCCACGCCGUAAACGAUGAGUGCUAAGUGUUAGAGGGUUUCCGCCCUUUAGUGCUGCAGCUAACGCAUUAAGCACUCCGCCUGGAGAGUACGGCCGGCAAGGCUGAAACUCAAAGGAAUUGACGGGCGGCCCGCACAAGCGGUGGAGCAUGUGGUUUAAUUGGAUAGCAACGCGAAGAACCUUACCAGGUCUUGACAUCUUCUGACAUACCCUAGAGAUAGGGCUUUCCCCUUCGGGGGACAGAGUGACAGGGUGGUGCAUGGUUGUCGUCAGCUCGUGUCGUGAGAUGUUGGGUUAAGUCCCGCAACGAGCGCAACCCUUGAUCUUUAUGUUGCCAGCAUUCAGUUGGGCACUCUAAGGUGACUGCCGGUGACAAACCGGAGGAAGGGGGGGAUGACGCAUCAAAUGCCUAUCACUGCUCACCUUCAAUGACCUACAGGGUCUCACAUCACGUGGAGCUACCUAAUGGAUGGUACAAAGGGCUGCAAACCUGCGAAGGUAAGCGAAUCCCAUAAAGCCAUUUUCAGUUCGGAUUCCAGGCUGCAAUUCGCCUGCAUGAAUCCGGAAUCGCUAGUAAUCGCGGAUCACCAUGCCGCGGUGAAUACGUUCCCGGUCCUUGUACACACCGCCCGUCCCACCACGAGAGUUUGUAACACCCGAAGUCGGUGAGGUAACCUUCAUGGAGCCAGCCGCC